RNAcentral lists this ribosomal RNA (1485 nucleotides) under uncultured organism. Its description in RNAcentral is "SSU rRNA". It matches the Rfam family "Bacterial small subunit ribosomal RNA". The record is from RNAcentral.
GAACGCUGGCGGCGUGCCUAAUACAUGCAAGUCGAGCGAGCGGAACUAACAGAUUUACUUCGGUAAUGACGUUAGGAAAGCGAGCGGCGGAUGGGUGAGUAACACGUGGGGAACCUGCCCCAUAGUCUGGGAUACCACUUGGAAACAGGUGCUAAUACCGGAUAAGAAAGCAGAUCGCAUGAUCAGCUUUUAAAAGGCGGCGUAAGCUGUCGCUAUGGGAUGGCCCCGCGGUGCAUUAGCUAGUUGGUAAGGUAAAGGCUUACCAAGGCGAUGAUGCAUAGCCGAGUUGAGAGACUGAUCGGCCACAUUGGGACCGAGACACGGCCCAAACUCCUACGGGAGGCAGCAGUAGGGAAUCUUCCACAAUGGACGCAAGUCUGAUGGAGCAACGCCGCGUGAGUGAAGAAGGUUUUCGGAUCGUAAAGCUCUGUUGUUGGUGAAGAAGGAUAGAGGUAGUAACUGGCCUUUAUUUGACGGUAAUCAACCAGAAAGUCACGGCUAACUACGUGCCAGCAGCCGCGGUAAUACGUAGGUGGCAAGCGUUGUCCGGAUUUACUGGGCGUAAAGCGAGCGCAGGCGGAAGAAUAAGUCUGAUGUGAAAGCCCUCGGCUUAACCGAGGAACUGCAUCGGAAACUGUUUUUCUUGAGUGCAGAAGAGGAGAGUGGAACUCCAUGUGUAGCGGUGGAAUGCGUAGAUAUAUGGAAGAACACCAGUGGCGAAGGCGGCUCUCUGGUCUGCAACUGACGCUGAGGCUCGAAAGCAUGGGUAGCGAACAGGAUUAGAUACCCUGGUAGUCCAUGCCGUAAACGAUGAGUGCUAAGUGUUGGGAGGUUUCCGCCUCUCAGUGCUGCAGCUAACGCAUUAAGCACUCCGCCUGGGGAGUACGACCGCAAGGUUGAAACUCAAAGGAAUUGACGGGGGCCCGCACAAGCGGUGGAGCAUGUGGUUUAAUUCGAAGCAACGCGAAGAACCUUACCAGGUCUUGACAUCUAGUGUCAUUUGUAGAGAUACAAAGUUCCCUUCGGGGACGCUAAGACAGGUGGUGCAUGGCUGUCGUCAGCUCGUGUCGUGAGAUGUUGGGUUAAGUCCCGCAACGAGCGCAACCCUUGUUAUUAGUUGCCAGCAUUAAGUUGGGCACUCUAAUGAGACUGCCGGUGACAAACCGGAGGAAGGUGGGGAUGACGUCAAGUCAUCAUGCCCCUUAUGACCUGGGCUACACACGUGCUACAAUGGGCAGUACAACGAGAAGCGAGCCUGCGAAGGCAAGCGAAUCUCUGAAAGCUGUUCUCAGCUCGGACUGCAGACUGCAACUCGACUGCACGAAGCUGGAAUCGCUAGUAAUCGCGGAUCAGCACGCCGCGGUGAAUACGUUCCCGGGCCUUGUACACACCGCCCGUCACACCAUGGGAGUCUGCAAUGCCCAAAGCCGGUGGCCUAACCUUCGGGAAGGAGCCGUCUAAGGCAGGGCAGAUGACUGGGGUGAA